AAUAAACAGCAGGGGUGAGGGAUAGGGAAGGGAGAGAGAGAAAUCGGAAGAGGGAUGGGUCGGCGAGGAAAGGAAAGCGACGAUGAGGACGACGAUUUCCUCUACCGCUACCCUCUUCCCUCUUCAUCCUCCGCCGUUGCCUCCGGCGGCCACCACCACCACGAAGCCACCGCCGGCGGCGCCUCCAAGGGCGGAUCCGGCGGCCUCGCCCCCUCCAAAUCGACGGUAUACGUCUCCAACCUCGACUACUCUCUCACUAACUCCGAUCUCCACACCAUCUUUUCCACCUUCGGCAAGGUCGCCCGCGUCACGGUCCUCAAAGACCGGGUCUCCCGUCAGAGCCGCGGCGUCGCCUUCGUCCUCUUCGUCUCCCGCCACGACGCCGCCGCCGCCGUCCGGACUAUGGAUCGCAAGGUCCUCAACGGCCGCACCAUCUCCGUCUCCAUCGCCUCCGACAACGGCCGCGCCGCCGAGUUCAUCCGCCGGAGGGUCUACAAGGACAAGAGUCGCUGCUACGAGUGCGGCGAGGAGGGCCACCUCUCCUACGAGUGUCCUAGGAACCAGCUAGGCCCCAGGGAGCGGCCAAACCCUAAGCGGGCCCGGAGGGAUGCGCAGCGCCGUGGCGGCGGCGGCGUUAGGGAGGAUGACUGGGGAUCGGAUAGUGGGGAUGAAGCCGGGUUCGAGGAUGAUAACUGGGCAUCAAUAGUGGACACGAGGGGGGCCGAGGAGAAGGCGAGGGGGAGGGAGGAGUGGAGAGAUGAUGGGAAGGAUAGGAAGAAGAAGGCGAAGAAAGCUGGCUACUUUAGUGAUGAGAGUGGCGAGGACGACUAGUAAGGCAAGCCGAUCCGUGCAAGAACUGCAGGCGACCUGGAUGCUAUGCCAGAGAAUGCCCCAACCUUCCUCUGUAAAAAUGGAACUCAAUGCUUCAGCCAUUUUCCCCCCCUUACAAUUUGCAAGUUAAUCUCCACCGAGAUUGCAGCGAACCUGCAGCUAAGCUUGGAUCUGCUUGCUCUUGUUCUUUGUCAUCAUUUAAUUGAGGCAGCUGUUUUAUGACAAGGCAUAGAUAAGGGCUGAUUGCUAACCUGAGUCAAACUCCAUUUGUAAACUUUUGCUGCCUUGAUUCAUCUCAACUCAGAAAUCAGAUGCUGCAUACUGUGACAUGCACAUCGCCUUGGAAUGCACUGCUAAAGACGCUAUGCGGGAACUGCAAAGAGCCAGAGCCAGUGGUAUUUGUACCCUUAGAAUGAACUUGUAUGCAAACUGCGCAAUUUCGAAGGGCAGCGCCGCAAGGCAAAACCCGGAAGUACUUGGCGAAUGGGCCGGCCAUCAAGCUGGGACUGCGUGUGGAGGCCUGGUUCACCUGGCAUUUGGGUGCCCAUCUGAGAGAUACUCGUCGACGGUUUUGAACCGUUUUGAUGAACGGCAGCCAUGAGCGAGACAUGGUACGAUGAUAUACUUCAUCUCUGUCAGAUGUAUGGAAUUUUUAAAUUUUUCGUAGCAUAGAUUCUUUGAUUUGUAUUGGAGAUCGGGUCCAUUGGUUAGGAGUAUAUUUUCCAUGGCGGUAAACUAAACUACUUUUUCCACUAUGGUUUCUGCUACGUCCGAUUAAUGCUGAAUUA
This is a non-coding RNA of Phoenix dactylifera (date palm), 1619 nucleotides long. The record is from RefSeq and is a predicted model, not a curated record. NCBI's taxonomy places the organism in Eukaryota, Viridiplantae, Streptophyta, Magnoliopsida, Arecales, Arecaceae.